UGGGUAGCACUUUGGGGGAAUGGCGUGAUUUUGGGACCUUACUUUUUUUACCAAAAUGUGGACGGCCUUGCAUAUCUUCAAAUGCUGAAUGAAUUUGCUUUCCCACAACUUGCCAUUCAUUUCAACAACCAGUAUUGGGAAGGAAUGUUUAGGGGUCUUUGUUGGGCACAGGCGCCGCUCCAGCACAUCGCCUUAUUGAAGUGAGGGAUCGCCUUAAUUAACGAAGUGUUCGGAGAGAAUCGUGUGAUAGCUUGCCACCAUGACGUGGAAUGGCCACCUCGAUCGCUGGACUUAACCCCAUGUGAU
Molecule: non-coding RNA, 306 nt
Organism: Paramuricea clavata
Lineage: Eukaryota; Metazoa; Cnidaria; Anthozoa; Malacalcyonacea; Plexauridae
Source: the annotation of a GenBank genome assembly